RNAcentral lists this small nuclear RNA (106 nucleotides) under Microcebus murinus (gray mouse lemur). The record is from RNAcentral. Lineage: Eukaryota; Metazoa; Chordata; Mammalia; Primates; Cheirogaleidae.
GUGCUCACUUCGGCAGCACAUGUAGUAAAACUGGAACGACACAGAGGAGAUUAGCAUGGCCCCCCACAAGGAUGAUAUGCAAAUUUGUGAAGCGUUCAAUAUUAAA